This 505-nucleotide ribosomal RNA is filed under the name uncultured bacterium. RNAcentral's name for it is "partial 16S ribosomal RNA". It matches the Rfam family "Bacterial small subunit ribosomal RNA", at positions 28 to 507 of the family's 1533-position model. The record is from RNAcentral.
GACGAACGCUGGCGGCGUGCCUAAUACAUGCAAGUAGAACGCACAGUUUAUACCGUAGCUUGCUACACCAUAAACUGUGAGUUGCGAACGGGUGAGUAACGCGUAGGUAACCUGCCUGGUAGCGGGGGAUAACUAUUGGAAACGAUAGCUAAUACCGCAUAAUAUUGAUUAUUGCAUGAUAAUUGAUUGAAAGAUGCUAUUGCAUCACUACCAGAUGGACCUGCGUUGUAUUAGCUAGUAGGUGAGGUAACGGCUCACCUAGGCGACGAUACAUAGCCGACCUGAGAGGGUGAUCGGCCACACUGGGACUGAGACACGGCCCAGACUCCUACGGGAGGCAGCAGUAGGGAAUCUUCGGCAAUGGACGAAAGUCUGACCGAGCAACGCCGCGUGAGUGAAGAAGGUUUUCGGAUCGUAAAGCUCUGUUGCAAGAGAAGAACGGGUGUGAGAGUGGAAAGUUCACACUGUGACGGUAUCUUACCAGAAAGGGACGGCUAACUACGUG